CCCUUAGAUGUUCUGGGCCGCACGCGUGCUAAACUGGUGAAUACAGCGAGUCUUAACCUUAACCGAAAUGGUUUGGGUAAUCUUGUGAAAGUUCAUCGUGACAGGGAUUGAUCAUUGCAAUUAUUGAUCAUGAACGAGGAAUUCCUAGUAAAGGCGAGUCAUCAUCUCGCUUUGAUUACGUCCCUGCCCUUUGUACACACCGCCCGUCGCUACUACCGAUUGAAUGGUUUAGUGAGAUCUCCGGAUUGGCUUCCUUGGUACCUUCGCGGGUCCAACGUGAAGCCGAGAAGCUGCUCAAACUUGAUCAUUUAGAGGAAGUAAAAGUCGUAACA
This 332-nucleotide ribosomal RNA is filed under the name uncultured eukaryote. RNAcentral's name for it is "partial 18S ribosomal RNA". It matches the Rfam family "Eukaryotic small subunit ribosomal RNA", at positions 1470 to 1796 of the family's 1831-position model. The record is from RNAcentral.